AAAAAAAAAAAAAGAUAGUUCAGAAUUCACAUUCAGAUGAAAGCUGAGUCGCGACUCGUUUUUCUGGAAAUUGGAACAAAACCCUGUCACACAGCUCACGAAAGACAAAACUCUCACGGCAGCUCUCCUCUCCCGUCUCCGCCCCGGCGUCACCAAUCAGCGCGGCAGCGCCGCUCGUAUCUGAGUUUUUGUCUAACUUUCGGGGCUCGUCUCUCUCUGUCUCUUCAUCUAAUUUGGACAUGUCAUGAUGCCAUUUGAAUUGUUGACCGGACACAUCAUGCCACUCUCUACUUCAACUCCUGGAUCUUCAUCGCUGGGACGAGUUUGUUUUGCUUUGAACAGUAGAUUUUGACAAUCGGUGACACCACGCCUACCGCCACCCCACCCCCGGAGUCUGAAACUGUGACCCAGCUCCUAGCCCACAUAAUGCUCCUUCUUCAGCACCGCGCCGCCACGCUGGCUGCCCUAGAUGUGGGGCUAGGGUUGAAUGGGGCAGGCUGACUCAUUGAUGGCUGUAGUGUGGAGAUGUUUGUUUAGUGGGGGUGAAACAGUUUUAUGAUUUUAUCAUGCAACUCUCACCCCCAAGGUGCACCUUUAUUUGGGACCGAUGAAAAUGCUUGAUCAGAAGUAAUUUUGGUAGUGUUUUUAUGAGGUGUUUUUGCAUAAUGAUAACAUAGGUCUUAAGUAGUUAAGAUUGAGUCACUCUUCACUCUGUACCAAAUAUUAAAUUAAUAUAUGUUCAUGUCUUAAUUAUUAUUGAUCUA
Molecule: non-coding RNA, 764 nt
Organism: Cajanus cajan (pigeon pea)
Lineage: Eukaryota; Viridiplantae; Streptophyta; Magnoliopsida; Fabales; Fabaceae
Source: RefSeq, a predicted model, not a curated record